AACGAACGCUGGCGGCAGGCCUAACACAUGCAAGUCGAACGGGACCUUCGGGUCUAGUGGCGGACGGGUGAGUAACGCGUGGGAACGUGCCCUUUGGUUCGGAAUAGCCCCGGGAAGCUGGGAGUAAUACCGGAUAAGCCCUACGGGGGAAAGAUUUAUCGCCAAAGGAUCGGCCCGCGUUGGAUUAGGUAGUUGGUGGGGUAAUGGCCUACCAAGCCGACGAUCCAUAGCUGGUUUGAGAGGAUGAUCAGCCACACUGGGACUGAGACACGGCCCAGACUCCUACGGGAGGCAGCAGUGGGGAAUCUUAGACAAUGGGGGAAACCCUGAUCUAGCCAUGCCGCGUGAUCGAGGAGGGCCUUAGGGUUGUAAAGAUCUUUCAGUGGGGAAGAUAAUGACUGUACCCACAGAAGAAGCCCCGGCUAACUCCGUGCCAGCCGCCGCAGUAA
RNAcentral lists this ribosomal RNA (449 nucleotides) under uncultured bacterium. RNAcentral describes it as "partial 16S ribosomal RNA". It matches the Rfam family "Bacterial small subunit ribosomal RNA", at positions 29 to 523 of the family's 1533-position model. The record is from RNAcentral.